RNAcentral lists this ribosomal RNA (386 nucleotides) under Heliobacterium chlorum. RNAcentral's name for it is "partial 23S ribosomal RNA". It matches the Rfam family "Bacterial large subunit ribosomal RNA", at positions 2081 to 2464 of the family's 2925-position model. Lineage: Bacteria; Bacillati; Bacillota; Clostridia; Eubacteriales; Heliobacteriaceae. The record is from RNAcentral.
CAGAAAGACCCCGUAGAGCUUUACUGUAGCCUGACAUUGGAUUUUGGUGUGUUUUGUACAGGAUAGGUGGGAGACGUCGAACCCAGGCCGCCAGGUUUGGGGGAGUCGAUGGUGGGAUACCACUCUGAAUGCACUGAAGUUCUAACUUGGCACCCUGAAUCGGGUGUAAGGACCGUGUCAGGUGGGCAGUUUGACUGGGGCGGUCGCCUCCCAAAGAGUAACGGAGGCGCCCAAAGGUUCCCUCAGACUGGUUGGAAAUCAGUCCGAAGAGUGUAAAGGCACAAGGGAGCUUGACUGCGAGACAGACAAGUCGAGCAGGGACGAAAGUCGGGCUUAGUGAUCCGGCGGUAUUGAGUGGAAAAGCCGUCGCGCAACGGAUAAAAGCU